Anguilla anguilla (European eel) is the source of this 1512-nucleotide long non-coding RNA. RefSeq lists it as uncharacterized. NCBI's taxonomy places the organism in Eukaryota, Metazoa, Chordata, Actinopteri, Anguilliformes, Anguillidae. The record is from RefSeq and is a predicted model, not a curated record. The transcript is spliced from 3 exons.
CAAUCACUCACUUACUCAAUCACAUACACACACACACACACGCACGCACACACACUUCAAGUUUCUUUAUUGAAUAAUGGAAAUUACAAUGUCUGUCUCACGGGCUCAGCCUUGCUGAGCUGUCUGAUCAGACAGAAGCACAGUGAACUCUUCAACAAUGGAUAUUUUACAUUGAGUGUUGUCUGAUGAGUAAGCUAUCUGAUGGCUGGAGCUUGGUUAAACUUCACACCGAGAUCAGGUCUUUUUAUUUUUCCCCCACACAGAUUUUUUCUGAAUGCAAUGGAUAGCUUGCAAGCUUGUAAGAGAGCUUAGUCCCUGAGUAAUGGAUUCUCACAUCGUUCGGAUAUUUGCAUAUAACUGCCAAAUCUCAAUCCAUUCCCAAUUCAUUUCAUUUUAUAGAGAUCGCAUAUUUGCAUAUUUCUGACAUUUUCCUGUAUUUUCUUGGACUUAUGUCCAAUUAUGCAUAAUGAUUAAUAAAUAGGCUAUUCGUUAAAAGAUGGCAGAUGCGGCAUAAAUAAACUGACAAUUGCCCAAUAAAGACAUAACAUUUAUCAAUCACAUUGACAGCGGAUGCCACAAUGUCAUGCGUGGUCAUCUGCUCUCCUCAGUCUUAUUAUUUUGUGCAAUUAAGUGCAUUCUACUGUAGUUAGUUUAGGGCGUCUAAGGUUGCCUGAAAACUUGAAAGCAGUCAAAACUUAAUUAUUUAAAUGCAGUAUAAUUCACAAACUAAUUGUACUAAUAAAUGCACAGAUCAUUUAUAAUCAUUUCAUAGAUGCUUAUUUAUGUAUUUGUUGUGUGUGUGCGUGUGUGUGUGUGUGUGUGUGUGUGCGCGCGUGUGAUUUCUCUUAUAGGCAGUUUAAGGGGGUUGAAAAAACACUUAGGUGGCCCAUCUAAGGAGUUUUGUUGCAGGAGAAAACCCUGGAUUGGUUGAUUGAGGGUUUGAUGUGCAGUCCAGUGUGGCUGUUUGCUGUCCGUUGACAGAGCAGGCCUGAAGUUUUGAAUUUGCGGUCCACGAGUGAGUCCACGCGCAGACAUUGAAGUGAACAUCAAUGGCAGUUCUCCUAAAUCCUGCCCUUCCCCUGCUGCUCGUGUAAGUAGGACAGGCUGUUGGUGAUCGCAUUAACACGGGGCCGGUUAUUACACCUCGGCCUUAUUCCGGGCCAGCUACACGGCGCAGCAGCUCUUUCCCGGGGCUGAAUCAGGGAUUCGAACCCGCAACUCCCGGCUGCACGGCCAACGCCUCACAUCUCCUUACUGCUCCUGGCUUCACCCAUUGGAGGACACACGGAAAGGAAGCAGAGAAAGGGUGUGAGGACAGAGCAAUCAAGAAAACAUGAUUCAGGCAAAUGGAACAUCUUUGCUCUUUCAAGCGUCAUUCUGAAGCCACAUCAGAAACAGAAAACACACCGACCGGUGGCCGAUUGGUGGAGGCGAGAGCGAUGCCAGGCAGUUUCGUCAGAAGAUGUGUGACUUUACUCUUAGGGCCUGGUGAUUGUUUUUUGGUUUGGUGAU